RNA transcript from Pyrus x bretschneideri (Chinese white pear), 987 nucleotides. RefSeq lists it as uncharacterized. Lineage: Eukaryota; Viridiplantae; Streptophyta; Magnoliopsida; Rosales; Rosaceae. The record is from RefSeq and is a predicted model, not a curated record. The transcript is spliced from 3 exons.
GGGAUUUAAAAUUCAAAAUCAUCAUUGGUGUUUUUUUCUUUCUAUGAAAGCGUUUUAGGGUUCUAACAAUAAUAGAACGUACGAGAAAAAUUGAUUAAAUGGGAGUGAGUUUAUUAAUAAAUUUUAAUUUUAUUAAUAUAUUUUAGUUUUAUUGGUUCGCCUGAGUUUCUCACCUGAUCUGCAUCUCAAAACUUCUCCAAUGGCGAAAUCGGUCUCCACCGCCGUGUCAUCCCUCGCCCAAACCCUAAAGCGUUACCUCAAGAAACCGUGGGAAAUAACCGGCCCGUGUGCCGACCCGGAGUACAAAUUAGCCGUGCCCGGCGCGCUCGAGUACCGGGUCGAGUGCCCAGCCACGACCAAGGUCCAGGCCUGCGUGCCCACCUCCAACCCGGAAACCGUGUACGACAUCAAGUACUAUACCCGCGACCAGAGGCGCAACCGGCCACCGAUUAGACGCACCGUUUUGAAGAAGGCGGAUGUGGAGAAGAUGAUGAAGGAGAGGACGACAUUCGACGUCUCGGAAUUCCCACCUGUUUACUUGGCCGAUGCCGUUGAAGAGGAUUACAAUGCUCGAGGUGGAGGCUACCAGAAAUGAAGUGGGUUCAAUUUGUUUGUUGGGGAUGCAUCAGUCAAAGUCUGGCACAAUCUAUGCUUCUGGUGAUGGUUCUCAAUUUCCUCUGAGCUUGUUGGCUGCAUCUUGAAUGUGCUUCUUGCAGGCUUAUGGGAUUCUGGAAAAAUAUGUGUGUUAUUUUGUUCCUCUCGUCGAACUAAAGAGAUGCUGUUCAUGUUAGCAUAGAUGCUUGUCUAGUCUGCUCACUUAAUGAAAUGCUGUGUUCGACGUGAAUAAAGGGUACUUGACACAACUUUUUUUUAUCCUUUAGUUUGUGCAGUAAUGUAUUUGUAUAAAAUCUAAAUGCAACCGCAGUUGGGUGAUUGGAUGACAUUAUCGCUCGUUUUUAUAACUUCUAAGAUCUCUACUUGCGAUAA